RNAcentral lists this transfer RNA (83 nucleotides) under Bacteroidota bacterium. Its description in RNAcentral is "Bacteroidetes bacterium (freshwater sediment metagenome) tRNA-Gln". Lineage: Bacteria; Pseudomonadati; Bacteroidota. The record is from RNAcentral.
UGGAAAGUAACUCAGUUGGUAGAGUAUGACACUUGCUUUUGGUGCAAGUUUUAUUGUUCCUGGUUCGAAUCCAGGUAUGCCCU